UAGGGAAUCUUCCGCAAUGGGCGAAAGCUUGACGGAGCAACGCCGCGUGAGUGAUGAAGGUCUUCGGAUCGUAAAACUCUGUUAUUAGGGAAGAACAAAUGUGUAAGUAACUAUGCACGUCUUGACGGUACCUAAUCAGAAAGCCACGGCUAACUACGUGCCAGCAGCCGCGGUAAUACGUAGGUGGCAAGCGUUAUCCGGAAUUAUUGGGCGUAAAGCGCGCGUAGGCGGUUUUUUAAGUCUGAUGUGAAAGCCCACGGCUCAACCGUGGGGGGACAUUGGAAACUAGACAACUUGAGUGCAGAAGAGGAAAGUGGAAUUCCAUGUGUAGCGGUGAAAUGCGCAGAGAUAUGGAGGAACACCAGUGGCGAAGGCGACUUUCUGGUCUGUAACUGACGCUGAUGUGCGAAAGCGUGGGGAUCAAACAGG
Molecule: ribosomal RNA, 429 nt
Filed under: Actinomycetes bacterium
Lineage: Bacteria; Bacillati; Actinomycetota; Actinomycetes
Description: Actinobacteria bacterium partial 16S ribosomal RNA
Rfam family: Bacterial small subunit ribosomal RNA
Source: RNAcentral